Molecule: long non-coding RNA, 1671 nt
Filed under: Oryza sativa (Asian cultivated rice)
Lineage: Eukaryota; Viridiplantae; Streptophyta; Magnoliopsida; Poales; Poaceae
Description: long non-coding RNA (OSAT_LNC001735)
Source: RNAcentral
CCACAGGCAGCUCAACUGGGGUAUAAGCCAAACGUCUUCUCCUUCUGGAUCCUUUUUCUUCAACUGAGGUUGAUUGAUUAUUGCAAGAAUGAGCAUAUGACAUACUCAACAAGCCACACAGCAAAUAUGCAAGUGCACAAGGAUACCAAAGGAUGGCAUAAUAUAGGCUCAUUUGCGAAAGCAGCAUUUAGCAAAGAGUUAAGAGUAGUAAAACAGUAGAGUAAUUAAUUAAAAAUUUUAAUCAACACUGAACAGCACACCCAUGCUGUACAGGCCCAACCAUCCUGAACAACCAUACCCGGCUGUACAGAUCUAACUCCAAACCAGGAGCUAGGCAAAUUAUUAUCAGGUAUUAACAUCCAUAAUUAUUGUGAGAGGUGUGAGACUAAUCACGAAAAACAUUGCUCAACCCGCCCAUAACCGCGGGCACGGCUAUUCGAAUAGUUUUACUCUGGCCAGAGGUGUACCACUGUACCCACAAGACACAACCCCACAUCAUGUCACCAUGUGCCUCAAUACCACCACGGUACCUCGGAAAGGAGUUGUGACAAUACCCCUUGCACAACAUAAUCCAUUACAGCGCACCUUUCCUGGAUCAUAAUCACCCCCUCAAAAACCAGAGGCAUGGACUCUCCAGCGACCCCCGUGGACUUCUCGCCACUUCUCAGUCUGGCGCACUAUAAUGAAUCACGCUAUACAAAAGAUAAAGCCGUUGCCCACGCUGGCUUGUGGUUGGCACGGUAAAUGUCUCACAACAGUAGCUCGCGAACCGGUCCUUAAUUGUCAUGAGCACGACUCUCAAAACCAUGUGCUCACAACCCACCAUUAUCAAGUUUUAGUUGGCAAGUAAUUAAUUAACCAAUCACGAUUAACCAUCGUGAACUAUCAUUAAGCCAUCCUUAAAUAAUAGUGAGUCAUAAGUUAUCCCAAUAGUGUGCUAAUGUUUCUAAGCAUGGCUAAGCAAUCAUAACUAAUAUCUAGCUGAACCAAUAUAUAAAGCCCAACUAGUCAAGUUAUAAUAACCCAAGGUAUCAAGGAAUAAAGUAAUCAAUGCAAAUUGGCCAUAACAAAGGAAUAAGUUCACACCACUCGGUGACAUUCGAAAAUAAAUGCACAGUUGAAAUAAAUAGAGAAUUUAAAUAUAGGAUCAACAUGCUCAAAGGAUUGUGUUUAGGAUCUGUGUGACUUGCCUUGCAAUAAUCGGCCUUCAAGUAAUCUUCUUGAUCACUUCCGACGCACUCACGAACCUUCGCAACGACGGAAACGACAAGCUAACACGCAAAACGAAGAAAAAGACUAAUAAAAACCAAAUAAACAGUACAUAUAAAGUAAACAAACAUGUAGAUCAUGAUUUUAGAUGAAUUUAGCAACUUGAACCACUCAAAACCGAGUUACGAUGAUUUAGUUAUGAAUUUCCGAAGAUUUAAUCUAUUAGAAAAAACUGGAAAAGGAGAAGAUGAUGACGUCAUGAUGACAUCAUCAAUGGCCGGACCAAGAUGGCGACCUCGCCGGAGAUAGAGCGACCGGCUGCGGAUUUGGAGGACAUGAACACGUAGAGGACGACGAGACGAACCCAACGAUACUCACCCUCGUGCCAAACGACGACCGACGACGGCCGGCGACGAGGAGGCGACGGCGGCGGCUCGGGUUGCACGGGGCGGCGGAGCUCCG